GACGAACGCUGGCGGCGUGCCUAAUACAUGCGAGUAGAACGCUGAAGAGAGGAGCUUGCUCUUCUUGGAUGAGUUGCGAACGGGUGAGUAACGCGUAGGUAACCUGCCUUGUAGCGGGGGAUAACUAUUGGAAACGAUAGCUAAUACCGCAUAACAAUGGAUGACACAUGUCAUUUAUUUGAAAGGGGCAAUUGCUCCACUACAAGAUGGACCUGCGUUGUAUUAGCUAGUAGGUGAGGUAAUGGCUCACCUAGGCGACGAUACAUAGCCGGCCUGAGAGGGUGAUCGGCCACACUGGGACUGAGACACGGCCCAGACUCCUACGGGAGGCAGCAGUAGGGAAUCUUCGGCAAUGGGGGCAACCCUGACCGAGCAACGCCGCGUGAGUGAAGAAGGGUUUCGGAUCGUAAAGCUCUGUUGUAAGUCAAGAACGGGGGUGAGAGUGGAAAGUUCACACUGUGACGGUAGCUUACCAGAAAGGGACGGCUAACUACGUG
This 497-nucleotide ribosomal RNA is filed under the name uncultured bacterium. RNAcentral's name for it is "partial 16S ribosomal RNA". It matches the Rfam family "Bacterial small subunit ribosomal RNA", at positions 28 to 507 of the family's 1533-position model. The record is from RNAcentral.